Molecule: ribosomal RNA, 487 nt
Filed under: uncultured bacterium
Lineage: Bacteria
Description: bacterial SSU rRNA
Rfam family: Bacterial small subunit ribosomal RNA
Source: RNAcentral
AUGAACGCUAGCUACAGGCUUAACACAUGCAAGUCGAGGGGCAGCAUGCUGAUAGCUUGCUAUCAGUGAUGGCGACCGGCGCACGGGUGAGUAACGCGUAUCCAACCUGCCUGUCACUCAGGAAUAGCCCGGUGAAAACCGGAUUAAAUCCUGAUGAUAUCAUUAGAGGGCAUCUGACGAUGAUUAAAGGUUACGGUGACAGAUGGGGAUGCGUCUGAUUAGCUUGUUGGCGGGUAACGGCCCACCAAGGCAACGAUCAGUAGGGGGUUCUGAGAGGAAGGUCCCCCACAUUGGAACUGAGACACGGUCCAAACUCCUACGGGAGGCAGCAGUGAGGAAUAUUGGUCAAUGGGCGGAAGCCUGAACCAGCCAAGUAGCGUGCAGGAUGACGGCCCUAUGGGUUGUAAACUGCUUUUGUGCGGGGAUAAAGUGUGGGACGUGUCCCAUAUUGCAGGUACCGCAUGAAUAAGGACCGGCUAAUUCCGUG